RNAcentral lists this unclassified non-coding RNA (444 nucleotides) under Lagunaria patersonia. Its description in RNAcentral is "partial external transcribed spacer". The record is from RNAcentral. Lineage: Eukaryota; Viridiplantae; Streptophyta; Magnoliopsida; Malvales; Malvaceae.
GCUGCUACUCGUACGCAAUGGGCAUAUGAGUGGUGAUUGGAUGUGUGAGUCGGCAGGCUCCGUGCUACUUGCAUCGAACUGUCGUUCCGCACUCCUCUUCAAUAUCUCCCCUCGCGGUCGUUGUACCCGAGGGGUGCGAUGGGAAUCCUGUGUUGCCUACCUAAAUCGAUGGAAUCUCGGAUGUGUUGCUGUCCCUUUAUCCGUCCAAUGCCUUUUGAGGGCUGCGUGAUGGACCCCGAUCUUGCCCUUUGUCCCGGUCGAGCCGCUGGAAUCCAUGCGGCCACGUCGGUGCAUUGGUGUUCGAUCGUGCUGUCGGAUGCGGAACGUUCUGUGGGUGAGGGCCGAUGCCCUAGUCGCUCGAUGCCUAAGCAUUUUGUCGCUUGUCGCGGACGAUGCUCGUGCAUUGUCACGGCCUCACCGCUGCCCAGGCAGCGCGUCGAGGAC